AACGCAAGUUGCGCCCGAGGGAUCAUCUCGAGGGCACGCCUGCCUCUUGGGCGUAAGAAGCCCAUCCACGCUCAGGCACCUAAAAGGUGCUCUUGAUGCGGACACUGGCCCUCCGAGCCGCAAGGUUGCGACGGGCCCAAGUACAAUGGCUGUCGGUUGAGGUCGAGAGCGACGAGUGGUGGGCUACAAUCUAGCGUUCGUCGCCCUUGAAUCUCACGAUGAUGAUGCCUGUAUUGACCCCAAACGAGCAUCAAGCCGCUGCAGCGUUAUGUUGUGUGGCAUGUUCGGACUUAUACCCCAGGUCAGGCGUGAUCACCCGCUGAGUUUAA
This 329-nucleotide unclassified non-coding RNA is filed under the name uncultured soil eukaryote. Its description in RNAcentral is "sequence contains 5.8S rRNA gene, ITS2, 28S rRNA gene". The record is from RNAcentral.